RNAcentral lists this ribosomal RNA (658 nucleotides) under Lacticaseibacillus paracasei subsp. paracasei. RNAcentral describes it as "bacterial SSU rRNA". It matches the Rfam family "Bacterial small subunit ribosomal RNA", at positions 57 to 680 of the family's 1533-position model. The record is from RNAcentral. Lineage: Bacteria; Bacillati; Bacillota; Bacilli; Lactobacillales; Lactobacillaceae.
GCAGUCGAACGAGUUCUCGUUGAUGAUCGGUGCUUGCACCGAGAUUCAACAUGGAACGAGUGGCGGACGGGUGAGUAACACGUGGGUAACCUGCCCUUAAGUGGGGGAUAACAUUUGGAAACAGAUGCUAAUACCGCAUAGAUCCAAGAACCGCAUGGUUCUUGGCUGAAAGAUGGCGUAAGCUAUCGCUUUUGGAUGGACCCGCGGCGUAUUAGCUAGUUGGUGAGGUAAUGGCUCACCAAGGCGAUGAUACGUAGCCGAACUGAGAGGUUGAUCGGCCACAUUGGGACUGAGACACGGCCCAAACUCCUACGGGAGGCAGCAGUAGGGAAUCUUCCACAAUGGACGCAAGUCUGAUGGAGCAACGCCGCGUGAGUGAAGAAGGCUUUCGGGUCGUAAAACUCUGUUGUUGGAGAAGAAUGGUCGGCAGAGUAACUGUUGUCGGCGUGACGGUAUCCAACCAGAAAGCCACGGCUAACUACGUGCCAGCAGCCGCGGUAAUACGUAGGUGGCAAGCGUUAUCCGGAUUUAUUGGGCGUAAAGCGAGCGCAGGCGGUUUUUUAAGUCUGAUGUGAAAGCCCUCGGCUUAACCGAGGAAGCGCAUCGGAAACUGGGAAACUUGAGUGCAGAAGAGGACAGUGGAACUCCAUGUGUAGCG